RNAcentral lists this non-coding RNA (21 nucleotides) under Caenorhabditis elegans. The record is from RNAcentral. Lineage: Eukaryota; Metazoa; Nematoda; Chromadorea; Rhabditida; Rhabditidae.
UGUACUUGCUUUUUUCACUUU